GAAGCAGAUAUAAUUUCUUUUUUAAAAGUAAAAAAUUAAAAACUUAAAAACGAUUGAUCGUGCCAAGACUCGAAC
RNAcentral lists this transfer RNA (75 nucleotides) under Schizosaccharomyces pombe (fission yeast). Its description in RNAcentral is "transfer RNA-Val". Lineage: Eukaryota; Fungi; Ascomycota; Schizosaccharomycetes; Schizosaccharomycetales; Schizosaccharomycetaceae. The record is from RNAcentral.